UUUCCACUAGUAUAUAUAAGAACGACAAAUUUGACAUUUAAUAUAACAACGGAAUAAGCAACUGACUAGCGGAUGAACGACGAAUUAAUUUGGCAUUCCAAAUAUAACAACCGAAUAAGCAACUGACUAGUUACAUAUGAACAACGGAUUAAGCCACGGACUAAUAUUAUUCAAAUCCUCGAUCUAUUAGUUGGAGGAAAAACGUCUUACCACUUGAGUUGCGCUUCAUCGUUACUAAGCAUUAUAAUUAAAGACAAAUUCCUUAACUACAUGAUAAUACAAGCAGGGGCAACUGCAACUGCUCCAACAAGUGUUACUACGGUACCUCCCAGAACAAUCCCUGCGUUGAGUGCAUCCAAAGUUUCCAGAAUCCUUUCCUGAAUAAUAACAAAUUUUUAAUUUGAAUAAUCAAAAUUCGUCCAUUGUUAAUUAAAAUAAGUAAUUUUUUUUCCUUUUUUUAGUUAGAGAAGAGAAACACUGGAGUUUGAACCUUGAACGUCACUGUUNNNN
RNAcentral lists this long non-coding RNA (510 nucleotides) under Salvia miltiorrhiza (redroot sage). Its description in RNAcentral is "long non-coding RNA (SMIL_LNC005127)". The record is from RNAcentral. Lineage: Eukaryota; Viridiplantae; Streptophyta; Magnoliopsida; Lamiales; Lamiaceae.